This 427-nucleotide ribosomal RNA is filed under the name uncultured bacterium. RNAcentral describes it as "partial 16S ribosomal RNA". It matches the Rfam family "Bacterial small subunit ribosomal RNA", at positions 355 to 774 of the family's 1533-position model. The record is from RNAcentral.
UGGGGAAUAUUGGACAAUGGGCGAAAGCCUGAUCCAGCCAUGCCGCGUGUAUGAAGAAGGCCUUCGGGUUGUAAAGUACUUUCAGCGGGGAGGAAGGGAGUAAAGUUAAUACCUUUGCUCAUUGACGUUACCCGCAGAAGAAGCACCGGCUAACUCUGUGCCAGCAGCCGCGGUAAUACGGAGGGUGCAAGCGUUAAUCGGAAUUACUGGGCGUAAAGCGCACGCAGGCGGUUUGUUAAGUCAGAUGUGAAAUCCCCGGGCUCAACCUGGGAACUGCAUCUGAUACUGGCAAGCUUGAGUCUCGUAGAGGGGGGUAGAAUUCCAGGUGUAGCGGUGAAAUGCGUAGAGAUCUGGAGGAAUACCGGUGGCGAAGGCGGCCCCCUGGACGAAGACUGACGCUCAGGUGCGAAAGCGUGGGGAGCAAACA